UCGUAAGGACAUGUGGAGCGCUUAGAAGUGAGAAUGCCGGUGUGAGUAGCGAAAGACGGGUGAGAAUCCCGUCCACCGAUUGACUAAGGUUUCCAGAGGAAGGCUCGUCCGCUCUGGGUUAGUCGGGUCCUAAGCUGAGGCCGACAGGCGUAGGCGAUGGAUAACAGGUUGAUAUUCCUGUACCACCUAUAAUCGUUUUAAUCGAUGGGGGGACGCAGUAGGAUAGGCGAAGCGUGCGAUUGGAUUGCACGUCUAAGCAGUAAGGCUGAGUAUUAGGCAAAUCCGGUACUCAUUAAGGCUGAGCUGUGAUGGGGAGAAGACAUUGUGUCUUCGAGUCGUUGAUUUCACACUGCCGAGAAAAGCCUCUAGAUAGAAAAUAGGUGCCCGUACCGCAAACCGACACAGGUAGUCAAGAUGAGAAUUCUAAGGUGAGCGAGCGAACUCUCGUUAAGGAACUCGGCAAAAUGACCCCGUAACUUCGGGAGAAGGGGUGCUCUUUAGGGUUAACGCCCAGAAGAGCCGCAGUGAAUAGGCCCAAGCGACUGUUUAUCAAAAACACAGGUCUCUGCUAAACCGUAAGGUGAUGUAUAGGGGCUGACGCCUGCCCGGUGCUGGAAGGUUAAGAGGAGUGGUUAGCUUCUGCGAAGCUACGAAUCGAAGCCCCAGUAAACGGCGGCCGUAACUAUAACGGUCCUAAGGUAGCGAAAUUCCUUGUCGGGUAAGUUCCGACCCGCACGAAAGGCGUAACGAUUUGGGCACUGUCUCAACGAGAGACUCGGUGAAAUCAUAGUACCUGUGAAGAUGCAGGUUACCCGCGACAGGACGGAAAGACCCCGUGGAGCUUUACUGUAGCCUGAUAUUGAAAUUCGGCACAGCUUGUACAGGAUAGGUAGGAGCCUUUGAAACGUGAGCGCUAGCUUACGUGGAGGCGCUGGUGGGAUACUACCCUAGCUGUGUUGGCUUUCUAACCCGCACCACUUAUCGUGGUGGGAGACAGUGUCAGGCGGGCAGUUUGACUGGGGCGGUCGCCUCCUAAAAGGUAACGGAGGCGCUCAAAGGUUCCCUCAGAAUGGUUGGAAAUCAUUCAUAGAGUGUAAAGGCAUAAGGGAGCUUGACUGCGAGACCUACAAGUCGAGCAGGGUCGAAAGACGGACUUAGUGAUCCGGUGGUUCCGCAUGGAAGGGCCAUCGCUCAACGGAUAAAAGCUACCCCGGGGAUAACAGGCUUAUCUCCCCCAAGAGUUCACAUCGACGGGGAGGUUUGGCACCUCGAUGUCGGCUCAUCGCAUCCUGGGGCUGUAGUCGGUCCCAAGGGUUGGGCUGUUCGCCCAUUAAAGCGGUACGCGAGCUGGGUUCAGAACGUCGUGAGACAGUUCGGUCCCUAUCCGUCGUGGGCGUAGGAAAUUUGAGAGGAGCUGUCCUUAGUACGAGAGGACCGGGAUGGACAUACCUCUGGUGUACCAGUUGUCGUGCCAACGGCAUAGCUGGGUAGCUAUGUGUGGACGGGAUAAGUGCUGAAAGCAUCUAAGCAUGAAGCCCCCCUCAAGAUGAGAUUUCCCAACUUCGGUUAUAAGAUCCCUCAAAGAUGAUGAGGUUAAUAGGUUCGAGGUGGAAGCAUGGUGACAUGUGGAGCUGACGAAUACUAAUCGAUCGAAGACUUAAUCAA
This 1665-nucleotide ribosomal RNA is filed under the name Staphylococcus aureus 5670-1. RNAcentral's name for it is "bacterial LSU rRNA". It matches the Rfam family "Bacterial large subunit ribosomal RNA", at positions 1261 to 2925 of the family's 2925-position model. The record is from RNAcentral. Lineage: Bacteria; Bacillati; Bacillota; Bacilli; Caryophanales; Staphylococcaceae.